Molecule: ribosomal RNA, 59 nt
Filed under: Candida albicans
Lineage: Eukaryota; Fungi; Ascomycota; Pichiomycetes; Serinales; Debaryomycetaceae
Description: partial 28S ribosomal RNA
Rfam family: Eukaryotic large subunit ribosomal RNA
Source: RNAcentral
UUUGACUUCAAAUCAGGUAGGACUACCCGCUGAACUUAAGCAUAUCAAUAAGCGGAGGA